CCUACGGGAGGCAGCAGUAAGGAAUAUUGGACAAUGGACGCAAGUCUGAUCCAGCCAUGCCGCGUGAAGGAUUAAGGCCCUCUGGGUUGUAAACUUCUUUUAUAGGGGACGAAAAAAGGGCUUUCUAGCUCGACUGACGGUACCCUAUGAAUAAGCACCGGCUAACUCCGUGCCAGCAGCCGCGGUAAUACGGAGGGUGCAAGCGUUAUCCGGAUUCACUGGGUUUAAAGGGUGCGUAGGCGGGCAUUUAAGUCAGUGGUGAAAUCUUCAAGCUCAACUUGGAAACUGCCAUUGAUACUAUUUGUCUUGAAUAUUGUGGAGGUGAGCGGAAUAUGUCAUGUAGCGGUGAAAUGCUUAGAUAUGACAUAGAACACCGAUUGCGAAGGCAGCUCGCUACACAAAUAUUGACGCUGAGGCACGAAAGCGUGGGGAUCAAACAGGAUUAGAUACCCUGGUAGUCCACGCCCUAAACCUAUGGAUACUCGACAUUUGCGAUACACAGUAAGUGUCUGAGCGAAAGCAUUAAGUAUCCACCUGGGAGUUACGACCGCAAGGUUGAACUUCAAUGAAUUGACGG
Molecule: ribosomal RNA, 577 nt
Filed under: uncultured bacterium
Lineage: Bacteria
Description: bacterial SSU rRNA
Rfam family: Bacterial small subunit ribosomal RNA
Source: RNAcentral